CUCUGGGUAUUAAUCUGCUGAGCUGGUGGCCACCUAAAUACAAUCGUCCUGUUCCCCUCAUUGGUCUCUCCGGUCUCCUGAUUCCAGCCACAUUUUGGUGAGCCAGCCAGGAGUGAAGACGACAGGUUUGCUGUCUCCUUUGCCUGUGGGUCUGGGGCCCCAGCCUGGGGGAGACCCGUGACUCCAGGCAUGCUAUCAGGACAACUUCAACCCGAGGGGAGAUCAGCUCUCCCGCAACCUGGUGCCGCUCUCUGACAGCACAACAGAACCUAAGGGGCUACAGGAUGAUUCAAGGAACAGUGUGCUACAGGACCUCGGUAUUCCUGCUGAGAGUCAUUUCCUGUGCUGGAUUUACCAUCACAGGGACCAGAUUUAUAGAAAAAUGAACAUGUAUUGUUGCUAAAUGGAGUUGGUCAUGGAGUGGAAACUAACAAUAUGUUCACCUCAAGAAGACCCUCACCAGAUGCAGCCCCUCUAUGUUGGACUUCCCAGCCUCCGGAAGUUAGAAAUGUGCUACAACCACUCAAGGUCUGCAAACAGAUUCCUAUUUAGAUGUUGUUGAGAGCUCCCACAAAUGACUGAGAACAUGACAAAUUUGUCAUUCUGAUACUCUGAACCAGACCUCCAGUUUCAUUUAUGUUGUUGUAAAUGACAGGGUGUCUUUUGAAAAGUCUACACAAACUAUUUAGUUUUUAACCUCAAGGAACUAAAAAACAAAUGAACAAACAAACAAAAAAACUAAGCCAAAA
RNAcentral lists this long non-coding RNA (749 nucleotides) under Homo sapiens (human). RNAcentral's name for it is "long intergenic non-protein coding RNA 278". Lineage: Eukaryota; Metazoa; Chordata; Mammalia; Primates; Hominidae. The record is from RNAcentral.